RNAcentral lists this small nucleolar RNA (63 nucleotides) under Carlito syrichta (Philippine tarsier). Its description in RNAcentral is "Small nucleolar RNA SNORD113/SNORD114 family (ENSTSYG00000022979.2)". It matches the Rfam family "Small nucleolar RNA SNORD113/SNORD114 family". Rfam says of the family: The imprinted human domain at 14q32 contains two clusters of tandemly repeated small nucleolar RNAs named 14q(I) and 14q(II) snoRNAs. Lineage: Eukaryota; Metazoa; Chordata; Mammalia; Primates; Tarsiidae. The record is from Rfam by way of RNAcentral.
UGGAUCAAUGAUGUCAACUAGUGGCAGAUGAGUCUCAUAUGUGUCUAGAACUCCGAGGUCCAA